RNAcentral lists this ribosomal RNA (550 nucleotides) under uncultured bacterium. RNAcentral's name for it is "bacterial SSU rRNA". It matches the Rfam family "Bacterial small subunit ribosomal RNA", at positions 355 to 896 of the family's 1533-position model. The record is from RNAcentral.
UAGGGAAUCUUCGGCAAUGGGGGCAACCCUGACCGAGCAACGCCGCGUGAGUGAAGAAGGUUUUCGGAUCGUAAAGCUCUGUUGUAAGUCAAGAACGAGUGUGAGAGUGGAAAGUUCACACUGUGACGGUAGCUUACCAGAAAGGGACGGCUAACUACGUGCCAGCAGCCGCGGUAAUACGUAGGUCCCGAGCGUUGUCCGGAUUUAUUGGGCGUAAAGCGAGCGCAGGCGGUUUGAUAAGUCUGAAGUUAAAGGCUGUGGCUCAACCAUAGUUCGCUUUGGAAACUGUCAAACUUGAGUGCAGAAGGGGAGAGUGGAAUUCCAUGUGUAGCGGUGAAAUGCGUAGAUAUAUGGAGGAACACCGGUGGCGAAAGCGGCUCUCUGGUCUGUAACUGACGCUGAGGCUCGAAAGCGUGGGGAGCGAACAGGAUUAGAUACCCUGGUAGUCCACGCCGUAAACGAUGAGUGCUAGGUGUUGGAUCCUUUCCGGGAUUCAGUGCCGUAGCUAACGCAUUAAGCACUCCGCCUGGGGAGUACGACCGCAAGGNUG